Molecule: ribosomal RNA, 141 nt
Filed under: uncultured Streptococcus sp.
Lineage: Bacteria; Bacillati; Bacillota; Bacilli; Lactobacillales; Streptococcaceae
Description: partial 16S ribosomal RNA
Rfam family: Bacterial small subunit ribosomal RNA
Source: RNAcentral
GCCUACGGGAGGCAGCAGUAGGGAAUCUUCGGCAAUGGACGGAAGUCUGACCGAGCAACGCCGCGUGAGUGAAGAAGGUUUUCGGAUCGUAAAGCUCUGUUGUAAGAGAAGAACGAGUGUGAGAGUAGGUAAAGUUCACAC